GCCGGCGAGUGGCGAACGGGUGAGUAAUAUAUCGGAACGUACCUUUCAGUGGGGGAUAACGUAGCGAAAGUUACGCUAAUACCGCAUAUUCUGUGAGCAGGAAAGCAGGGGAUCGCAAGACCUUGCGCUGAUUGAGCGGCCGAUAUCAGAUUAGCUAGUUGGUGAGGUAAAGGCUCACCAAGGCGACGAUCUGUAGCGGGUCUGAGAGGAUGAUCCGCCACACUGGAACUGAGACACGGUCCAGACUCCUACGGGAGGCAGCAGUGGGGAAUUUUUGGACAAUGGGCGCAAGCCUGAUCCAGCCAUGCCGCGUGAGUGAAGAAGGCCUUCGGGUUGUAAAGCUCUUUCGGCCGGGAAGAAAUCGCACAGGUUAAUACCCUGUGUGGAUGACGGUACCGGAAUAAGAAGCACCGGCUAACUACGUG
Molecule: ribosomal RNA, 425 nt
Filed under: uncultured bacterium
Lineage: Bacteria
Description: bacterial SSU rRNA
Rfam family: Bacterial small subunit ribosomal RNA
Source: RNAcentral